AGCAACAUGGCGCAGCCGGUAGCGCGCAGGGCCCAUAACCCUGAGGUCAUUCGAUCGAAACGAAUUGUUGCUA
Molecule: non-coding RNA, 73 nt
Organism: Coprinopsis marcescibilis
Lineage: Eukaryota; Fungi; Basidiomycota; Agaricomycetes; Agaricales; Psathyrellaceae
Source: the annotation of a GenBank genome assembly